GAUGAAGAACGCAGCGAAAUGCGACAAGUAGUGUGAAUUGCAGAAUUCAGUGAAUCAUCGAAUCUUUGAACGCACAUUGCGCCCCUCGGUAUUCCGUGGGGCAUGCCUGUUCGAGCGUCAUUUACCCCUCAAGCACUGCUUGGUGUUGGGCGUCUGUCCCGCUUCGCGCGCGGACUCGCCCCAAAGGUAUUGGCAGCGGUCGUGCCAGCUUCUCGCGCAGCACAUUGCGCUUCUCGAGGCGGUCGAUCGGCGUCCACGAAGCUCACCUCCACCGUUUGACCUCGGAUCAGGUAGGGAUACCCGCUGAACUUAAGCAUAUCAAUAAGCGGAGGA
RNAcentral lists this unclassified non-coding RNA (333 nucleotides) under soil metagenome. Its description in RNAcentral is "partial contains 5.8S ribosomal RNA, internal transcribed spacer 2, and large subunit ribosomal RNA". The stretch from base 1 to 120 matches the Rfam family "5.8S ribosomal RNA", at positions 35 to 154 of the family's 154-position model. The record is from RNAcentral.